Molecule: ribosomal RNA, 504 nt
Filed under: uncultured bacterium
Lineage: Bacteria
Description: bacterial SSU rRNA
Rfam family: Bacterial small subunit ribosomal RNA
Source: RNAcentral
UUGAACGCUGGCGGCGUGCUUAACACAUGCAAGUCGCGCGUGAAAGGGCUCGGCCAAGUAAAGCGGCGCACGGGUGAGUAACGCGUGGAUGAUCUACCCAUGAGUUGGGAAUAACGGCUGGAAACGGUCGCUAAUACCGAAUACGCUCCGAUUUCAACUUCGGGGGAAAGGUGGCCUCUGCUUGCAAGCUACUGCUCAUGGAUGAGUCCGCGUCCCAUUAGCUAGUUGGUGGGGUAACGGCCCACCAAGGCGACGAUGGGUAGCCGGUCUGAGAGGAUGACCGGCCACACUGGGACUGGAACACGGCCCAGACUCCUACGGGAGGCAGCAGUGGGGAAUAUUGCGCAAUGGGCGAAAGCCUGACGCAGCGACGCCGCGUGAGGGGAAUGAAGGUCCUCGGAUCGUAAACCUCUGUCAGGAGGGAAGAACCGCCACGGUGCUAAUCAGCCGUGGUCUGACGGUACCUCCAAAGGAAGCACCGGCUAACUCCGUGCCAGCCGCGGC